GUGGGGAAUCUUGCGCAAUGGGCGAAAGCCUGACGCAGCCAUGCCGCGUGAAUGAUGAAGGUCUUAGGAUUGUAAAAUUCUUUCACCGGGGACGAUAAUGACGGUACCCGGAGAAGAAGCUCCGGCUAACUUCGUGCCAGCAGCCGCGGUAAUACGAAGGGGGCUAGCGUUGCUCGGAAUUACUGGGCGUAAAGGGCGCGUAGGCGGACAGCUUAGUCAGAGGUGAAAGCCCAGGGCUCAACCUUGGAAUUGCCUUUGAUACUGGCUGUCUUGAGUUUGGGAGAGGUGAGUGGAACUCCGAGUGUAGAGGUGAAAUGCGUAGAUAUUCGGAAGAACACCAGUGGCGAAGGCGACUCACUGGCCCAAUACUGACGCUGAGGCGCGAAAGCGUGGGGAGCAAACAGGAUUAGAAACCCUAGUAGUCC
RNAcentral lists this ribosomal RNA (425 nucleotides) under uncultured bacterium. Its description in RNAcentral is "partial 16S ribosomal RNA". It matches the Rfam family "Bacterial small subunit ribosomal RNA", at positions 354 to 796 of the family's 1533-position model. The record is from RNAcentral.